CUUCGUCCUCUCGGUCAUCUUUGACGAUCCCUUCAUCGAUACUUUCCAGCCUCAGUCUCUGACCGUCCAGGUAUCUGGGUCUUGGCGUUGCCCUGGUCAUAAACAGUCCCCCCGGCAGACCCAGAUCCUCCCCAAACAGGGGGGAAUGACAGAUACCUUUGGCAUGCUCCACCUGAUCUUCAAAGGUGACCGAGCUCCUCCUCUUCCCGGACGGAUUCCCAUGAUGCUGUGGGUGGGAGGAGCCAUCUGUGGAGAAGUUAUCCAGCAGCAUCACGUCCGUGCCUGUGUGGGAAACAUUACAGUGUACAGAAACCAUCUUAAUGAGUUUAAUGAUCAAGACAUUUAUUUGUAUUACACAUGACAUUACUUGCCCUGCCCAUGCCAUCCUGACCUGAAAACAUGAGCUGUGAAACAGGAAUGUGAGGCUGACUGUAACAAGGCUGUGGCAGUAUGAAGCAAUAGAGUUAGUAAGACCAUCUGAUAGCCUUUUGAAGCCCAUGAAUCACUUUAUCUCCAUUUUAUGUUCAAGUUAAGAUCAACAGUCACGUUUUCAAAAGUAGGAAGGCCAAAGUUUAAUAGCAUGAACGUAUGUCAGCAAAGACGCAACUUGGUACCUGGUGUCAAAAUGGACCUGGUUCCAGCUUCUCAAAUGUGAUAACAUGCAUGUUAUGAAGAAUUUAAUACAUUUGGGUUUUCGACUGUUGGUCAAACAAAACAAGUCAUAUAUGAAGAUGUCACCUCGGGCUCUGUGUAAUCUGUGAUGACCCUUUUUCACCAUUUUAUAGAGUAAAUGUUUAAUCAUAAAAAAGUAAAUGAUUGCUAGUAGUGGUAGAUUUACAGAUUUUAUGGUAAAGACUUUUAAGCAAACUCAACUACAGCUGAAACCAUUAGUCAAUUACUGGGAAAUAAAUGUGGGCCAAUUUUGAUUAGUAAUUGAGUGUCAUUUCUAUUUUUAAAGCAAAUCAAAUAUUAUCUUGUUCCAGCUUCUCAACAACAGUAUUUUCACUGUUAGUUGGACAAGUCAUUUGAUUAUGGUCAAUUUUCUUUUUAUUGAUUAAACAAUCAGUAGAGUAAUCAGUCCUGUUUUUCUGUUCUGUUAGAAACAAUUUCUUAGCAGGAAGCACAGAACACCUUUGUGUCUAUUGGUCUAUGAUGUGUUAGCAAGCGAAUAACUUAUUACAGGUAUGACACUAUGACUAGUUAAAGCUUGCAGAUUGUAAGACACAUCGCUGGUUGUACGGUCACUGAUUACUGAUGCUAUUUUAUUGGAUUCAAACAAUUUUUUUACAUUGGGAAUUCCAAUACGUGUAAAUUUAGGUUGUUAGGAGAUUCACAAUGUCGCUAAUUCUUAUACCUUCAGUUUACUGUCGAGCCCUGAUAUCAGAUAUUGAAUGGAGUAUAUGUUAGUAGUUUCACACGGGGUAUCAAACAGAAGUACUUUAGUGGAACCAGAUGUUUUCCUGACAUAACAUGUAGAUGUAGAUGUGUAGAUAAUACAUACUUAUUCUUAGCAGGUUUUGAAGUGUGUAUGUAGUGUGUUCACACUGGAAAAAUGACUAAAUAAAGUAUAUUUAAACAGUCA
Long non-coding RNA from Micropterus salmoides (largemouth bass), 1582 nucleotides. RefSeq lists it as uncharacterized. The record is from RefSeq and is a predicted model, not a curated record. Lineage: Eukaryota; Metazoa; Chordata; Actinopteri; Centrarchiformes; Centrarchidae. The transcript has 2 exons.